AGGUCACUGAUGAGUCUAGACGAAACGCGCGUCUGGCGU
RNAcentral lists this non-coding RNA (39 nucleotides) under Mytilus galloprovincialis (Mediterranean mussel). Lineage: Eukaryota; Metazoa; Mollusca; Bivalvia; Mytilida; Mytilidae. The record is from RNAcentral.